This 715-nucleotide long non-coding RNA is filed under the name Mus musculus (house mouse). RNAcentral's name for it is "predicted gene, 47267". The record is from RNAcentral. Lineage: Eukaryota; Metazoa; Chordata; Mammalia; Rodentia; Muridae.
GUUCCUAUCUGGUCCUAUCACCCUAUUGUCACUGCCAGGGGUUGGCCCUUUCUGGGGACUUCAUGGAGCAACUGUAUCCCAAGGAGUCACCUGAUGAUGCAACAGGCCUGCAGAGCUGGACCCCAUGUGUGUCUACUGAGCAUCCCUCUUCCCUGGAGGGCCAUGAAGUACCUAAUGGGGGCCUAUGGCUGCAGGAGGGACUCUGGGAGCAAGUAGGUAUGGGAGAAGCUGCUCUCCUCUCCAGAAUGCCUACAGUAGCAUCCAACCCAAGUCUGACGGAUGAUGGCUGCUCCUGAGUCUCCUUUCAGGAUACCCUGAGCUGAAGCUGCAUAUCUACAGUGCUGCUAGGCCUGCUGAGGUAGUAUGAGGACAUUGCCCGAUGCUUGAGCCCCUCUUCUCUUCCAGGUUUCCAAAAUGCCUUUCCAGGCUAAAACCCAUGUUGUGAUCUGCUGGCCGGGCACAACAGGAUAGAAGAGAGGUGACUCACUGUGUCUCUAGUCUAGGUCAACUUCUGCAGAAAGUCUCAAAGUCCAGAUGGAGUGACAUGAACCCAUUGGCCCAAAGGGUUGGCAAGAUGGGAGAAAUGGAGUCAACAGAUUACAAGCUACCCAGGAGCUAAAUGUCGCCUUGCUGGGUGUGGGUGAAAGAGAGCUGCCAGCUUUCAUAAUGUCUUGUUCCAAAUCCAGAAGCAACAUUUACAACUACUGGUCACAGU